CCUACGGGAGGCAGCAGUGAGGAAUAUUGGUCAAUGGGCUUACGCCUGAACCAGCCAAGUCGCGUGAGGGAAGACUGCCCUAUGGGUUGUAAACCUCUUUUGUCAGGGAGCAACGCCGGCUACGUGUAGCCGUACUGAGAGUACCUGAAGAAAAAGCAUCGGCUAACUCCGUGCCAGCAGCCGCGGUCAUACGGAGGAUGCGAGCGCUAUCCGGAUUUAUUGGGUUUCAAGGGUGCGUAGGCGGAAUGCCAAGUCAGCGGUAAAAUCGCGGGGCUCAACCUCGCUACGCCGUUGACACUGGCGUUGGUGAGUGGGCGAGAAGUAUGCGGAAUGCGUGGUGUAGCGGUGAAAUGCAUAGAGAUCACGCAGAACUCCGAUUGCGAAGGCAGAAUACCGGCGCCCAACUGACGCUGAAGCACGAAAGCGUGGGUAUCGAACAGGAUUAGAUACCCGAGUAGUC
This 460-nucleotide ribosomal RNA is filed under the name uncultured bacterium. RNAcentral's name for it is "partial 16S ribosomal RNA". It matches the Rfam family "Bacterial small subunit ribosomal RNA", at positions 338 to 795 of the family's 1533-position model. The record is from RNAcentral.